ACAUUCCAUGCGUAUUCGAUAAGCCGGCAAUAAAAAAGCAGAUUAGUUUCCACUACUCUGGGCUUUUUUGUGCUGCUUAUUUUUACGCGUGUAGACAUAGAUUGCGAUAAGGAUGGCUUUUUUUGCCAUGCCUUUUAUCGCCGUGUUCUUAUUCGUGAUGAAUGCAGACCAACUGCCCUCAAGGUGGAUUUGGAUCUGUAUUUUUUAU
Molecule: non-coding RNA, 208 nt
Filed under: Paenibacillus macerans
Lineage: Bacteria; Bacillati; Bacillota; Bacilli; Caryophanales; Paenibacillaceae
Description: Enterococcus sRNA 1300
Rfam family: Enterococcus sRNA 1300
About the family: Expressed in mid and late exponential phases of growth. Expression remained uniform under daptomycin exposure.
Source: Rfam by way of RNAcentral